UAUGUCCUAGUUUUUCGUCAUCAUUAUGCAAUACCCGGCCGUAUAAAAAGGCCACCUUUUCGUAGUAGAUUCAGUCUGGGGUUCACAGGCAUAACUACUACUUCUCUUCUAACCAGGAUGGUUUUACGUUUCUAUGUUCUAUGUGGAUAAUAAUAAAGAAGCAAAACAGGAACCAAGAUGGAAAAAUUAAUUAUUUAUUAGCAUUAAUGAUUCUAAUUAUUGCUCAAUAGUAUCAUUCGGAAACAAACUUAAACCUUAACAGAGACUUGCGCAUAGAUAUUUGUCUGAAAUCCAGAAUUUGGUUCGAGCCGAAGAUUCAAGGCUUGUCACUUCACUCCAGUCUACCCUAUACAACAUUAACAAUAACUGUUAUCUGAACACUGUUACCUGUUCCAGACUAUUAUCCUGAACACUGUUACCUGCUCCAGACUAUUAUCCUGAACACUGUUACUUGUUCCAGACUAAUAUCUUGAAUGCUGUUACCUAUUCCAGCCUAUUAUCCUGAACACUUUUCCAUGUUCCAGGCUAGUAAAUUUAAUACUGUUACCUGUUCCAGACUAUUAUCCUUAACACUGUUACCUGUUAUUAGUCUGUACACUGUUUUCUGUUACAGACUAUCAUUCUGAACACUGUUACCUGUUCCAGACUUUCAUCCUGAACACUGUUACCUGUUCCAGACUAUUAUCAUAAACAGUGUUAAAUGUUCCAGACAAUUAUAUUAAACACUGUUACCUGUUCCAGACUAUUAUUCUAAACACUGCUACCAGUUUCAGACUAAUUAUUAUCCUGAACACUGUUACCUGUUUCAGACUAGCUAUUAUCCGAAACACUGUUACUCGUUCCAGACUAUUAUCCUAAACAGUGUUAACUGUUACCGACUAUUAUAUUUAACACUGUUAUUUGUUCCAGACUAUUAUUUCGAAUACUGUUACCGGUUCCAGACUAUUAUCCUGAACACUGUUACCUGUUCCAGACUAUUAAAUUUAAUACUGUUACCUGUUCCAGACUAUUAUCCUUAACACUGUUACCUGUUAUUAGUCUGUACACUGUUUUCUGUUACAGACUAUCAUUCUGAACACUGUUACCUGUUCCAGACUAUUAUCCUGAACAUUGUUACCUGUUCCAGACUAUUACUUUAAACAGUAUUCCUCCAGUUCUAUCUUUGAAACGGGUUCCAACUGACAUUGCUGCAACAAGACUUGUGCUCAACCCAACCUAAAUUAUAUAUAUUACAAGUUCUGUAAAAUUCAAAAAAGACAUCCAAAUUCACAAGCUAUUUUUUCCCGUAAUAUGGUACACUGUUUUAUGGCUUACUAGAAGGCAUAUUGGAAGAAGGUGAAAAAAGUGCAAAAAAGUUAGGCCAUAUUAAAAAGCUUAGUCACAAGUAAAACCUAUAUGUAUUUUCUUUAAAGGAGGACAGGACUUUAUAAUGAAUGGAAUUAACUGAAUAAAUUGUAUAAGGAAUGGUAA
This 1470-nucleotide long non-coding RNA is filed under the name Eurytemora carolleeae. Its description in RNAcentral is "uncharacterized LOC111707068". The record is from RNAcentral. Lineage: Eukaryota; Metazoa; Arthropoda; Copepoda; Calanoida; Temoridae.